CUUCGGAGGUACUCGAGUGGCGAACGGGUGAGUAACACGUGGGUGAUCUGCCCUGCACUCUGGGAUAAGCCUGGGAAACUGGGUCUAAUACCGGAUAGGACCAUGCUUUAGUGUGUGUGGUGGAAAGUUUUUUCGGUGUAGGAUGAGCCCGGGGCCUAUCAGCUUGUUGGUGGGGUAAUGGCCUACCAAGGCGGCGACGGGUAGCCGGCCUGAGAGGGUGUACGGCCACAUUGGGACUGAGAUACGGCCCAG
RNAcentral lists this ribosomal RNA (252 nucleotides) under uncultured Actinomycetales bacterium. Its description in RNAcentral is "partial 16S ribosomal RNA". It matches the Rfam family "Bacterial small subunit ribosomal RNA", at positions 78 to 334 of the family's 1533-position model. Lineage: Bacteria; Bacillati; Actinomycetota; Actinomycetes; Actinomycetales. The record is from RNAcentral.